This is a long non-coding RNA of Nicotiana tabacum (common tobacco), 558 nucleotides long. RefSeq lists it as uncharacterized. The record is from RefSeq and is a predicted model, not a curated record. NCBI's taxonomy places the organism in Eukaryota, Viridiplantae, Streptophyta, Magnoliopsida, Solanales, Solanaceae.
AAAACAAAGUGAACCUCAUCUCCUCCAAAUUCCUCCUCUUCUCUUUCAUACUUCUAUAAAUUGAUUCUUUCUUUUAUUAUUGGUAUUGUCAAAAUCCUCCUCCUUCUGGCAUUAGCUUAAUCUCCUAUAUAUAUUCCGUAUAUACUGACUAUUAUUGGGCAAUACCCUCUUCCUAUAUGAAUUAUUAGAGUCGUUGCAGGUACUUAAAGAACGAUAAUUAAAGAGACAAUCUUGAGGGAUGGUGAUGAUGGGAUUGGAGAGAUUAAUGGUGAACUUAAAGACGAGAUUAAGAAGAUGCCUGAAAAUGAAGGAACCUAAUUACGACAAGAUUGAGAAAAGUGAGAGCAUGAGAAUCGAGAUAAGUAGUAGGAAAGCUCGUAAACUCAUCGAACAGACACUUAAAAUCGCCGACUCCCCCAAAACUAGAAGCUAUACUUUCUAGUACUGGCAGGUGCUGAGAGUAUUAGUUACGGAUUUCGGCAGAUUCAGUAGUUUUUGUUUAGAUCCUGUUUUUGUAUUAAAAAGUUUAUUAAAUAUAUAUUAAUAUGUAAUUGCAAA